This 253-nucleotide ribosomal RNA is filed under the name uncultured prokaryote. RNAcentral describes it as "partial 16S ribosomal RNA". It matches the Rfam family "Bacterial small subunit ribosomal RNA", at positions 525 to 777 of the family's 1533-position model. The record is from RNAcentral.
ACGAAGGGUGCAAGCGUUACUCGGAAUUACUGGGCGUAAAGGGUGCGUAGGUGGUUUUUUAAGUCUGCUGUGAAAUCCCCGGGCUCAACCUGGGAAUGGCAGUGGAUACUGGAAAGCUGGAGUGCGGUAGAGGGUAGUGGAAUUCCCGGUGUAGCAGUGAAAUGCGUAGAGAUCAGAAGGAACAUCCGUGGCGAAGGCGGCAUCCUGGGCCAACACUGACACUGAGGCACGAAAGCGUGGGGAGCAAACAGGA